UACAGAAGGUGCGAGCGUUAAUCGGAAUUACUGGGCGUAAAGCGUGCGUAGACGGCUAUUUAAGUCGGGUGUGAAAGCCCCGGGCUCAACCUGGGAAUUGCAUUCGAGACUGAGUAGCUAGGGUGCGGUAGAGGGAAGCGGAAUUUCCGGUGUAGCGGUGAAAUGCGUAGAUAUCGGAAGGAACAUCAGUGGCGAAAGCGGCUUCCUGGACCAGCACUGACGUUCAGGCACGAAAGCGUGGGGAGCAAACAGG
This 253-nucleotide ribosomal RNA is filed under the name uncultured bacterium. RNAcentral's name for it is "partial 16S ribosomal RNA". It matches the Rfam family "Bacterial small subunit ribosomal RNA", at positions 524 to 776 of the family's 1533-position model. The record is from RNAcentral.